Molecule: ribosomal RNA, 253 nt
Filed under: uncultured bacterium
Lineage: Bacteria
Description: partial 16S ribosomal RNA
Rfam family: Bacterial small subunit ribosomal RNA
Source: RNAcentral
UACGUAGGGUGCGAGCGUUAUUCGGAAUUACUGGGCGUAAAGCGUGCGUAGGCGGUUUUGUAAGUCGGAUGUGAAAUCCCCGGGCUUAACCUGGGAAUGGCAUUUGGGACUGCAAGGCUGGAGUGCGGUAGAGGAGACUGGAAUUCCUGGUGUAGCAGUGAAAUGCGUAGAUAUCAGGAGGAACACCGAUGGCGAAGGCAGGUCUCUGGGCUGACACUGACGCUGAUGCACGAAAGCGUGGGGAGCAAACAGG